UCUCUACCAAAAAGAAAAACAUUUAACUGAACUUGGUAGCAUGUGCCUGUAGACCUAGCUACUCUGGAUGCUGCAGCAGGAUCGCUUGAGCCCAAAGAUUCGAGGUUACAGUGAGCUAGGGUCGCACUGGUGCACUCCAGUCUGGGUGACAGAGGAAGACCCUGUCUCAAAAAUAAAUAAAUAAAUAAAAAACGUCAACUUUAU
RNAcentral lists this long non-coding RNA (204 nucleotides) under Homo sapiens (human). RNAcentral describes it as "non-protein coding lnc-SH3D19-6:1". Lineage: Eukaryota; Metazoa; Chordata; Mammalia; Primates; Hominidae. The record is from RNAcentral.